This is a small nucleolar RNA of Gadus morhua (Atlantic cod), 128 nucleotides long. The record is from Ensembl. NCBI's taxonomy places the organism in Eukaryota, Metazoa, Chordata, Actinopteri, Gadiformes, Gadidae.
GCAGGCUCCUACUGAACUGCCUUGUGUUUAUGUAGCACUUGGUGGUCAAGAGGAUGCCAAUAUAAACUCUUUCACUGAUUGCUGUUCAGUUUAUAAAUGGCUGUCUCAGCAUCAAGGGAAGAACAUUU